UAGGGAGACUGGCUUUGGUUUGGGUGUGUCAGCACCAAGGGAUGACGUGGUACUCAAAGGCAAGGGCUUUGAGUGAGGAGAUAAUGAAGGGAAGCUAUUUAUAGCCAAUAUCUACAUGCCACAUGGUUUAUUGCUUCAUCAGGUGGAUACUGGUCUCCUGCCAGCCAAUUCAUUUCUCUUGUGAGCCAGAAGAGGAGCAGGCCAAUGUGUGUGUUCAGGUUUUGAACCAUAUGUGGGAGCCAGAGAGGAAAGGGGUGAUCAAGAAGAGAGAAAGGACCAAACAGGCAACUGAGCACCUACUAUACACCAUCAGUUAAACUACAAGCCAGACCUUCCCAUGAGGUGUUGGGCUGCCAGAAAACAGAAAAUGUGUGUUAAUGAUCCUGGUAUCUCCCACAUUGAACAUGAAUGGAGCUGGGGGCCAUUAUCCUUAGCAAACUAACACAGGAACAGAAAGUCAAAUACUACAUGUUCACACUUAUAAGUGGGAGCUAAAUGAUGAGAACUCAUGGACACAAAGACAGGAACAACAGACACUGGGACCUACUUGAGAGUGGAUGGUGGAAGGAGGGAGAGGAUCAGCAAAAAUAACUACUGAGUGCUGGGCUUAGUACCUGGGUGACAAAAUAAUCUGUACAACAAACCCCCAUGACACAGUUUAUCAAUAUAACAAACCUGCAUGUGUACCUCUGAACCUAAAAUAAAAGUUUAUAUAUAUAUAUAUAUAAACUAUAUAUAUAUGGAUGUAUA
RNAcentral lists this long non-coding RNA (750 nucleotides) under Homo sapiens (human). RNAcentral describes it as "HSALNT0311387". Lineage: Eukaryota; Metazoa; Chordata; Mammalia; Primates; Hominidae. The record is from RNAcentral.